UAACCUUGAUUUAAAUUAGGGUAAUAAAACUGGUUCUCAUAUAUAUAACAUUUCGAAUACACAGAACGUAAACACAUUUUAUGCACACAUAGACGACAAUUGGGCAUGGAUAUAAUCUCUUUUGAAGAAGCUAGCGGCACUAAAAGUGAACCUGGCUGAUCAGGGAAUCUCUACUCGAUGAACACUAGCAGCCCACAUGCUUAAGCAGGGAUUUCAAUGGUAGCUAGGCACCAUAGAUUCAAAAGAAGAUUUCACAGCUCACAAGUCUAUCUGUCCUGAAUUAUACUAGUGGCGAAAGGAAUUUUGCCCUGAAAUCCUUUUCUUUGGAUCCAGCUCAACAAGUACGUAACUACGAAUGAACAUCGUUUCUCCUUUCCGAAAGCCUCAUUCGGUCCAGAGCACAGAACACAAACCUUUCACCAAAAGAAGAAAUACCUUGCCUUUCACGAAAGAAAUGAUUGCAACCCAUCAAAGAGAACAAGCUGUAUCCAUCAAGUUAAACGGAUUCUCAUUCGAGAACACCCCAUUCCCAUAAAAAAGAGAGCCAGGGAGAGAGAAGAACCUUUAUGCCUUAUGUUUCCUUAGUUUUUAAAAUAAAUAAAUAAAAAAACACGCAAACUUCUUUAGACGUUAAUUUACACA
This is a long non-coding RNA of Populus euphratica (Euphrates poplar), 642 nucleotides long. RefSeq lists it as uncharacterized. The transcript has 2 exons. NCBI's taxonomy places the organism in Eukaryota, Viridiplantae, Streptophyta, Magnoliopsida, Malpighiales, Salicaceae. The record is from RefSeq and is a predicted model, not a curated record.